CGGGGUGCUCCAGCAGUAAGGAAUAUUGCGCAAUGGAGGCAACUCUGACGCAGCCAUGCCGCGUGCAGGAAGAAGGCCUUAUGGGUCGUAAACUGCUUUUAUUUAGGAAUAAACCCCCGAACGUGUUCGGGGCUGAAGGUACUAAACGAAUAAGCACCGGCUACUCCGUGCCAGCAGCCGCGGUAAUACGGAGGGUGCAAGCGUUAUCCGGAUUUAUUGGGUUUAAAGGGUGCGCAGGCGGGCUAUUAAGUCAGUGGUGAAAUCCCGGGGCUCAACUCCGGAACUGCCAUUGAUACUGAUAGUCUUGAGUUUGGUUGAAGUGGGCGGAAUGUAGCAUGUAGCGGUGAAAUGCAUAGAUAUGCUACAGAACACCAAUCGCGAAGGCAGCUCACUAAGCCAAAACUGACGCUCAUGCACGAAAGCGUGGGGAUCAAACAGGAUUAGAUACCCGGGUAGUC
Molecule: ribosomal RNA, 458 nt
Filed under: uncultured bacterium
Lineage: Bacteria
Description: partial 16S ribosomal RNA
Rfam family: Bacterial small subunit ribosomal RNA
Source: RNAcentral